This 117-nucleotide small nuclear RNA is filed under the name Varanus komodoensis (Komodo dragon). RNAcentral describes it as "U2 spliceosomal RNA (ENSVKKG00000003398.1)". It matches the Rfam family "U2 spliceosomal RNA". From Rfam's summary of the family: U2 is a small nuclear RNA (snRNA) component of the spliceosome (involved in pre-mRNA splicing). The record is from Rfam by way of RNAcentral. Lineage: Eukaryota; Metazoa; Chordata; Lepidosauria; Squamata; Varanidae.
UUAGAUUCUCGACCUUUUGGCUAAGAUCAAGUGUAGUAUCUGUUCUUAUCAGUUUAAUAUCUGAUACGUCCUCUAUUUGAGGACUAUAGUAGUAAAAUGGGGGUGGUGUUAUUUAUU